RNAcentral lists this long non-coding RNA (295 nucleotides) under Parus major (Great Tit). RNAcentral describes it as "lncRNA (ENSPMJG00000011188.1)". The record is from RNAcentral. Lineage: Eukaryota; Metazoa; Chordata; Aves; Passeriformes; Paridae.
CUUCUUUCUAGGGGUCAGAUGGUGACUCCUAGUCUAUCCCCUCCUACCUACCCUGGUGACUCUGUGGCAUCAGGGUAAAGAGCUUUUCUGAGAAGUCAUUCUUCAAAGUCAAUGAGCUCCCACAGACCUGGAAAAAAUAUUUUGUGAUCUCUCCUGGUUCCUCACCCCAUGUUCUCCACUGAUCAGACCCAUUGGUGAUUAGAUGCUCAGCAGAAGUGAUUUUGCAGCCUUUGACACCUUGCAUCCCCUGCUGCCUGGAUUUCAAAGAGAGAAAAACAGCUUCUGGAUUACCUGA